RNAcentral lists this ribosomal RNA (427 nucleotides) under uncultured bacterium. Its description in RNAcentral is "partial 16S ribosomal RNA". It matches the Rfam family "Bacterial small subunit ribosomal RNA", at positions 355 to 774 of the family's 1533-position model. The record is from RNAcentral.
UGGGGAAUAUUGGACAAUGGGCGAAAGCCUGAUCCAGCCAUGCCGCGUGUGUGAAGAAGGUCUUCGGAUUGUAAAGCACUUUAAGUUGGGAGGAAGGGCAUUAACCUAAUACGUUAGUGUUUUGACGUUACCGACAGAAUAAGCACCGGCUAACUCUGUGCCAGCAGCCGCGGUAAUACAGAGCGUGCAAGCGUUAAUCGGAAUUACUGGGCGUAAAGCGCGCGUAGGUGGUUUGUUAAGUUGGAUGUGAAAUCCCCGGGCUCAACCUGGGAACUGCAUUCAAAACUGACUGACUAGAGUAUGGUAGAGGGUGGUGGAAUUUCCUGUGUAGCGGUGAAAUGCGUGGAUAUAGGAAGGAACACCAGUGGCGAAGGCGACCACCUGGACUAAUACUGACACUGAGGUGCGAAAGCGUGGGGAGCAAACA